Molecule: long non-coding RNA, 226 nt
Filed under: Carica papaya (papaya)
Lineage: Eukaryota; Viridiplantae; Streptophyta; Magnoliopsida; Brassicales; Caricaceae
Description: long non-coding RNA (CPAP_LNC012483)
Source: RNAcentral
CUGUUUUAUUGAUUAUGGGUUGAAUGACUGAGAAACCGAUGUUGUAUGUUGUCUUGUUUGGCAUAAAUUACUGUUUUGCUUGUUUGUGUGUGAAUUAAUGAUGCUAACUGAGGAAAAGGGGAAUGAAAGGUUAUGUAAAUUGAUAAUUGUAUAAUGUGAUCAGUCUGACUAGUUAUCCUGGGAGAUGGUGGACGGACCGGGUCCGUAGGGAACCCUACCGGGAUUG